UAGUGGCGAACGGGUGAGUAACACGUGGGCAAUCUGCCCUUCACUCUGGGACAAGCCCUGGAAACGGGGUCUAAUACCGGAUAACACUCUGUCCCGCAUGGGACGGGGUUGAAAGCUCCGGCGGUGAAGGAUGAGCCCGCGGCCUAUCAGCUUGUUGGUGGGGUGAUGGCCUACCAAGGCGACGACGGGUAGCCGGCCUGAGAGGGCGACCGGCCACACUGGGACUGAGACACGGCCCAGACUCCUACGGGAGGCAGCAGUGGGGAAUAUUGCACAAUGGGCGAAAGCCUGAUGCAGCGACGCCGCGUGAGGGAUGACGGCCUUCGGGUUGUAAACCUCUUUCAGCAGGGAAGAAGCGAGAGUGACGGUACCUGCAGAAGAAGCGCCGGCUAACUACGUGCCAGCAGCCGCGGUAAUACGUAGGGCGCAAGCGUUGUCCGGAAUUAUUGGGCGUAAAGAGCUCGUAGGCGGCUUGUUGCGUCGGUUGUGAAAGCCCGGGGCUUAACCCCGGGUCUGCAGUCGAUACGGGCAGGCUAGAGUG
Molecule: ribosomal RNA, 541 nt
Filed under: Streptomyces sp. 306H02
Lineage: Bacteria; Bacillati; Actinomycetota; Actinomycetes; Kitasatosporales; Streptomycetaceae
Description: bacterial SSU rRNA
Rfam family: Bacterial small subunit ribosomal RNA
Source: RNAcentral